Molecule: non-coding RNA, 81 nt
Organism: Blastosporella zonata
Lineage: Eukaryota; Fungi; Basidiomycota; Agaricomycetes; Agaricales; Lyophyllaceae
Source: the annotation of a GenBank genome assembly
GCCACCGUAGCACAAUGGUUAGUGUGUUGCUUUCCUAUUAAGGUUAGGCAGAGGUUGCGGGUUCGAGUCCCGUCGGUGGUU